Molecule: long non-coding RNA, 484 nt
Organism: Mauremys reevesii (Reeves's turtle)
Lineage: Eukaryota; Metazoa; Chordata; Testudines; Geoemydidae
Exons: 4
Source: RefSeq, a predicted model, not a curated record
AAAAAAAAUAUUAUCUUAGCUGACUGCCAGGACUUAAAUCAAAGGGGAAGCUGUCAAAGGAGAAAACAGGAAAAGGAACAAUUGCAAAGAUGAGACACCUGAGGCAAACAACUUCAGGAAUAAAUACAUAGGAUGAGUUGAUGGCUAAACAGAAUUGCUUUGAUUUCUAUGGCACAGGAGAACAGCUGCACUUUCAGUUUGCUGCUUUCAGCCUAGCACAGAGCAGUGCCACCUUCACAAUGCAUCUGAGCUCUAUCAGCCUGGUGAACAAGACAGCAAAGGUUAUCUGGUGUGUCACUGAGCUACUUAUGCAUGAUGUGUGCUGAAUGCUGCAAAUACAGUCGCCAUGCUGCGCUGCUAAAUGUCACAGGGAGUCUUGGAGCUGAAUCUCAAGGAAUACAUUCAGACUUAGAUGUCUCUACCACUAUUGUUAGGAAUGAAACAUGAUCCAGGAAUGUGAUGUAUGUAGACUGUUAUCACUGGA